This 439-nucleotide long non-coding RNA is filed under the name Vigna radiata. RNAcentral describes it as "long non-coding RNA (VRAD_LNC015781)". Lineage: Eukaryota; Viridiplantae; Streptophyta; Magnoliopsida; Fabales; Fabaceae. The record is from RNAcentral.
GUAUAUGAAUAUAUAUUACGUAUAUAGAUAUAUAAUAAAAUAGUAUAUAUUAAGUUAGUUAGUAAAAUCAAAUAUAAUAAAAUAAUAUAUACAGAUAUGAUAAGAUACGUAACGGAAUUUGGGGAAAGUAAAAGUUAAGAUUUAUAAUAUUUAACUUUUGUAACCUUUGAUUAUGUAAAAGGAUAAGGAAAGAUGAAUAAAAUAAAUGGGAGGGGGCUUAUCUUUGUGAAAGGAAGAGUAACAGAAAAGAAGAUAAAAAAAAAAGAGAUAUAGUUGAUAGAAACAGAAGGAUAUAAGAGGCUACUGGGAGUAUUAGUUUAAAAAGAAAAGAAAAAGAAAGUGUGGCAUCCAAUUAUAUUAUAAAGAUAUAUAAUAUAAUAAAGAUGUCACCAUGAAUAAUACUAGAAAAUACUUAAGAGUAAUAGGAUUACAGUCAUCC